GGCGGAUCCUGGAGUCUAGCCCUGAGUGUUCCUGAGGGCAGAGUUGAAUUCCAAGCCAGAGGUGUGGAGAGCAGCCUGGGUCUUGCAGGUCCUGCAUGCUGAGGAACUUUGUCUUCUCCUCUUAAGCUUGGAAUCAAUUUUUGCUCUGUUUUACUUUCAAAAAGGAAGAAAGAAAACUUAAAUGCCUGUGUAAAUCUCAGACAAAAUAGACUUCAGAGCAAAUAAUGUAAACAGGAUCAAGAAGGACCUGAGGAUGUUGUUUCAGAAUACAUGAAGCAAAACCUUUAGGAAGUGAAAGAAGAAAGAAAACUACACAAUUAAAGCUGGAAACUCUCAUACUUCUCUUUUGGUAAUAAACACAGUAGACAGAAAAUCAACAAUGGUAUAGGCUGCAGAUACUAAAGAAUUCACCAACACCAUGGACCACAUCUAACAUUCUCCCCAGCAACAGUACAACGAUUUCUUGAAGUGCAUAGCGAAGAUUCCUAAGAGAAUCGUCUCUUUUCAGAUGGCAGUGACCUUGGGAUGACUCAGAAGGCAUCAUGGUACU
Jaculus jaculus (lesser Egyptian jerboa) is the source of this 550-nucleotide long non-coding RNA. RefSeq lists it as uncharacterized. The transcript has 4 exons. The record is from RefSeq and is a predicted model, not a curated record. NCBI's taxonomy places the organism in Eukaryota, Metazoa, Chordata, Mammalia, Rodentia, Dipodidae.